CUUUUCCUGCUCCUGCUUUCUUCGUCAGCUAUCUCUAUCUCUCUCUCUAUUGUUCAAAGCAAUAAUCCAGUUGCUUUUUUCUAAAGCGCUUUUUAUAGUCAUCGCCGAGUCAAUCCAAUUGAAUCCGAUAAUUUCAAGCUAGGGUUCCGAAGUUUGAACCUUUAAUCCGAUUGCCAAAGGUUUUUUCAAUCAACUCAAACUGUUCCUGAGGGAGUUUUUGGGUCAGCUUUCCAGGUUGGUGUAUCGACAUGGUGUUUAUGCUCAACCUUUGGGGAUUAUAUUACAAUUAUCACCAGUGUUAUCCAGCAGUCAAGUUUAGUUGAAUUUUCUACUGUAUAUGGGUUCAAGCCUUUGGGAAUUGUAGUUACAGUUGCCAUUGGUUUUGCAUUGAAACCUACUAUUGCUCUUUUUCUCAGAAAAUCCAGAAAGAAGGCACAGGCUAUCUAGCUUCAUUUACGAUUUAACUACCAAAAGAUUAUUGUUGUUUAUGUACUCUACUAAACUGAAAACAUAUAUCGAUAAUAAAAAUACCCGCAGCAAAGCGCGGGCUAUCUAUCUAGU
This is a long non-coding RNA of Rosa chinensis, 561 nucleotides long. RefSeq lists it as uncharacterized. NCBI's taxonomy places the organism in Eukaryota, Viridiplantae, Streptophyta, Magnoliopsida, Rosales, Rosaceae. The transcript has 3 exons. The record is from RefSeq and is a predicted model, not a curated record.